GGCUCAGGACGAACGCUGGCGGCGUGCCUAAUACAUGCAAGUCGAGCGGACAGAAGGGAGCUUGCUCCCGGAUGUUAGCGGCGGACGGGUGAGUAACACGUGGGUAACCUGCCUGUAAGACUGGGAUAACUCCGGGAAACCGGAGCUAAUACCGGAUAGUUCCUUGAACCGCAUGGUUCAAGGAUGAAAGACGGUUUCGGCUGUCACUUACAGAUGGACCCGCGGCGCAUUAGCUAGUUGGUGGGGUAAUGGCUCACCAAGGCGACGAUGCGUAGCCGACCUGAGAGGGUGAUCGGCCACACUGGGACUGAGACACGGCCCAGACUCCUACGGGAGGCAGCAGUAGGGAAUCUUCCGCAAUGGACGAAAGUCUGACGGAGCAACGCCGCGUGAGUGAUGAAGGUUUUCGGAUCGUAAAGCUCUGUUGUUAGGGAAGAACAAGUGCGAGAGUAACUGCUCGCACCUUGACGGUACCUAACCAGAAAGCCACGGCUAACUACGUGCCAGCAGCCGCGGUAAUACGUAGGUGGCAAGCGUUGUCCGGAAUUAUUGGGCGUAAAGGGCUCGCAGGCGGUUUCUUAAGUCUGAUGUGAAAGCCCCCGGCUCAACCGGGGAGGGUCAUUGGAAACUGGGAAACUUGAGUGCAGAAGAGGAGAGUGGAAUUCCACGUGUAGCGGUGAAAUGCGUAGAGAUGUGGAGGAACACCAGUGGCGAAGGCGACUCUCUGGUCUGUAGCUGACGCUGAGGAGCGAAAGCGUGGGGAGCGAACAGGAUUAGAUACCCUGGUAGUCCACGCCGUAAACGAUGAGUGCUAAGUGUUAGGGGGUUUCCGCCCCUUAGUGCUGCAGCUAACGCAUUAAGCACUCCGCCUGGGGAGUACGGUCGCAAGACUGAAACUCAAAGGAAUUGACGGGGGCCCGCACAAGCGGUGGAGCAUGUGGUUUAAUUCGAAGCAACGCGAAGAACCUUACCAGGUCUUGACAUCCUCUGACAACCCUAGAGAUAGGGCUUUCCCUUCGGGGACAGAGUGACAGGUGGUGCAUGGUUGUCGUCAGCUCGUGUCGUGAGAUGUUGGGUUAAGUCCCGCAACGAGCGCAACCCUUGAUCUUAGUUGCCAGCAUUCAGUUGGGCACUCUAAGGUGACUGCCGGUGACAAACCGGAGGAAGGUGGGGAUGACGUCAAAUCAUCAUGCCCCUUAUGACCUGGGCUACACACGUGCUACAAUGGACAGAACAAAGGGCUGCAAGACCGCAAGGUUUAGCCAAUCCCAUAAAUCUGUUCUCAGUUCGGAUCGCAGUCUGCAACUCGACUGCGUGAAGCUGGAAUCGCUAGUAAUCGCGGAUCAGCAUGCCGCGGUGAAUACGUUCCCGGGCCUUGUACACACCGCCCGUCACACCACGAGAGUUUGCAACACCCGAAGUCGGUGAGGUAACCUUUAUGGAGCCAGCCGCCGAAGGUGGGGCAGAUGAUUGGGGUGAAGUC
This 1483-nucleotide ribosomal RNA is filed under the name Bacillus pumilus. RNAcentral describes it as "bacterial SSU rRNA". It matches the Rfam family "Bacterial small subunit ribosomal RNA". The record is from RNAcentral. Lineage: Bacteria; Bacillati; Bacillota; Bacilli; Caryophanales; Bacillaceae.